Molecule: ribosomal RNA, 492 nt
Filed under: uncultured bacterium
Lineage: Bacteria
Description: partial 16S ribosomal RNA
Rfam family: Bacterial small subunit ribosomal RNA
Source: RNAcentral
AGUGAACGCUGGCGGUAGGCCUAACACAUGCAAGUCGAACGGCAGCACAGUAAGAGCUUGCUCUUACGGGUGGCGAGUGGCGGACGGGUGAGGAAUACAUCGGAAUCUACUUUUUCGUGGGGGAUAACGUAGGGAAACUUACGCUAAUACCGCAUACGACCUACGGGUGAAAGCAGGGGAUCUUCGGACCUUGCGCGAUUGAAUGAGCCGAUGUCGGAUUAGCUAGUUGGCGGGGUAAAGGCCCACCAAGGCGACGAUCCGUAGCUGGUCUGAGAGGAUGAUCAGCCACACUGGAACUGAGACACGGUCCAGACUCCUGCGGGAGGCAGCAGUGGGGAAUAUUGGACAAUGGGCGCAAGCCUGAUCCAGCCAUACCGCGUGAGUGAAGAAGGCCUUCGGGUUGUAAAGCCCUUUUGUUGGGAAAGAAAAGCAGCAGGUUAAUACCCCGCUGUUCUGACGGUACCCAAAGAAUAAGCACCGGCUAACUUCGUG